GAUGAACGCUGGCGGCGUGCCUAAUACAUGCAAGUCGAACGAGGCGCUUUUUGUAGCAAUACGAGGAGCGUCCUAGUGGCGAACGGGUGAGUAACGCGUGGGUGACCUGCCCCAAAGUGUGGGAUAACAGUCCGAAAGGAUUGCUAAUACCGCAUGUGGUCGCUGAGUUUAGAAGUUAGCGACUAAAGCAGCAAUGCGCUUUGGGAGGGACCUGCGUCCCAUCAGCUAGUUGGUAAGGUAACGGCUUACCAAGGCGACGACGGGUAGGGGACCUGAGAGGGUGGCCCCCCACAAUGGAACUGAAACACGGUCCAUACACCUACGGGUGGCAGCAGUAGGGAAUAUUGCACAAUGGGCGAAAGCCUGAUGCAGCAACGCCGCGUGCGCGAAGAAGGUCCUUCGGAUCGUAAAGCGCUUUUCUAAGAGAUGAGAAAGGACAGUAUCUUAGGAAUAAGUCUCGGCUAACUACGUGCCAGCAGCCGCGGUAAUGUCUAG
This 495-nucleotide ribosomal RNA is filed under the name uncultured bacterium. Its description in RNAcentral is "bacterial SSU rRNA". It matches the Rfam family "Bacterial small subunit ribosomal RNA", at positions 28 to 530 of the family's 1533-position model. The record is from RNAcentral.